UACAGAGGGGGCUAGCGUUGUUCGGAAUUACUGGGCGUAAAGGGCGCGUAGGCGGCCCGCUAAGUCGAACGUGAAAUCCCUGGGCUCAACCCAGGAACUGCGUCCGAUACUGGCAGGCUUGAAUCCGGGAGAGGGAUGCGGAAUUCCAGGUGUAGCGGUGAAAUGCGUAGAUAUCUGGAGGAACACCGGUGGCGAAGGCGGCAUCCUGGACCGGUAUUGACGCUGAGGCGCGAAAGCCAGGGGAGCAAACGGG
RNAcentral lists this ribosomal RNA (253 nucleotides) under uncultured bacterium. RNAcentral's name for it is "partial 16S ribosomal RNA". It matches the Rfam family "Bacterial small subunit ribosomal RNA", at positions 524 to 776 of the family's 1533-position model. The record is from RNAcentral.